RNAcentral lists this ribosomal RNA (461 nucleotides) under uncultured Turicibacter sp. RNAcentral's name for it is "bacterial SSU rRNA". It matches the Rfam family "Bacterial small subunit ribosomal RNA", at positions 8 to 507 of the family's 1533-position model. The record is from RNAcentral. Lineage: Bacteria; Bacillati; Bacillota; Erysipelotrichia; Erysipelotrichales; Turicibacteraceae.
AGAGUUUGAUCCUGGCUCAGGAUGAACGCUGGCGGCGUGCCUAUACAUGCAAGUCGAGCGAACCACUUCGGUGGGAAGCGGCGAACGGGUGAGUAACACGUAGGUGAUCUGCCCAUCAGACGGGGACAACGAUUGGAAACGAUCGCUAAUACCGGAUAGGACGAAAGUUUAAAGAUGCUUCUGGCAUCACUGAUGGAUGAGCCUGCGGCGCAUUAGCUAGUUGGUGGGGUAAAGGCCUACCAAGGCGACGAUGCGUAGCCGACCUGAGAGGGUGAACGGCCACACUGGGACUGAGACACGGCCCAGACUCCUACGGGAGGCAGCAGUGGGGAAUAUUGCACAAUGGGGGAAACCCUGAUGCAGCAACGCCGCGUGAGUGAUGACGGCCUUCGGGUUGUAAAGCUCUGUCUUCAGGGACGAUAAUGACGGUACCUGAGGAGGAAGCCACGGCUAACUACGUG